AAACCAUGAUUUGGGCUUUUCUGCAAAUAUUCUUUGAACCUCUCCCAAGCUUCAUAUAGUUGUUCCCCCGCCGCCGCUUGAAUUCAUAGAUCUUGUCUCGAAUCU
This is a small nucleolar RNA of Lycium ferocissimum, 105 nucleotides long. The record is from RefSeq and is a predicted model, not a curated record. Lineage: Eukaryota; Viridiplantae; Streptophyta; Magnoliopsida; Solanales; Solanaceae.